RNAcentral lists this ribosomal RNA (253 nucleotides) under uncultured bacterium. Its description in RNAcentral is "partial 16S ribosomal RNA". It matches the Rfam family "Bacterial small subunit ribosomal RNA", at positions 524 to 776 of the family's 1533-position model. The record is from RNAcentral.
UACGGAGGGAGCUAGCGUUGUUCGGAAUUACUGGGCGUAAAGCGCGCGUAGGUGGUUCAGUAAGUUGGAAGUGAAAUCCCCGGGCUCAACCCCGGAACUGCCUUUGAAACUAGAUGGCUUGAAUCUUGGAGAGGCGAGUGGAAUUCCGAGUGUAGAGGUGAAAUUCGUAGAUAUUCGGAAGAACACCAGUGGCGAAGGCGACUCGCUGGACAAGUAUUGACGCUGAGGUGCGAAAGCGUGGGGAGCAAACAGG